UCGUCAGAUUGAACGCUGGCGGCUGGCUUAACACAUCAAAGUCGAACCGGUAGCACAGAGACCUUGCUCUCGGGUGACGAGUGGCGGACGGGUGAGUAAUGUCUGGGAAACUGCCCGAUGGAGGGGGAUAAAUACUGGAAACGGUAGCUAAUACCGCAUAACGUCUUCGGACCAAAGUGGGGGACCUUCGGGCCUCACACCAUCGGAUGUGCCCAGAUGGGAUUAGCUAGUAGGUGGGGUAAUGGCUCACCUAGGCGACGAUCCCUAGCUGGUCUGAGAGGAUGACCAGCCACACUGGAACUGAGACACGGUCCAGACUCAUACGGGAGGCCGCAGUGGGGAAUAUUGCAGAUGGGCGCAGCCUGAUGCAUCCGUGCCGCGUGUAG
RNAcentral lists this ribosomal RNA (386 nucleotides) under Enterobacteriaceae bacterium AE_28_1. Its description in RNAcentral is "bacterial SSU rRNA". It matches the Rfam family "Bacterial small subunit ribosomal RNA", at positions 26 to 406 of the family's 1533-position model. The record is from RNAcentral. Lineage: Bacteria; Pseudomonadati; Pseudomonadota; Gammaproteobacteria; Enterobacterales; Enterobacteriaceae.